RNAcentral lists this ribosomal RNA (1456 nucleotides) under Peribacillus muralis. RNAcentral describes it as "bacterial SSU rRNA". It matches the Rfam family "Bacterial small subunit ribosomal RNA". The record is from RNAcentral. Lineage: Bacteria; Bacillati; Bacillota; Bacilli; Caryophanales; Bacillaceae.
GUGCCCUUGCGGCGUGCUAUACAUGCAGUCGAGCGAAUCGAUGGGAGCUUGCUCCCUGAGAUUAGCGGCGGACGGGUGAGUAACACGUGGGCAACCUGCCUAUAAGACUGGGAUAACUUCGGGAAACCGGAGCUAAUACCGGAUACGUUCUUUUCUCGCAUGAGAGAAGAUGGAAAGACGGUUUACGCUGUCACUUAUAGAUGGGCCCGCGGCGCAUUAGCUAGUUGGUGAGGUAAUGGCUCACCAAGGCGACGAUGCGUAGCCGACCUGAGAGGGUGAUCGGCCACACUGGGACUGAGACACGGCCCAGACUCCUACGGGAGGCAGCAGUAGGGAAUCUUCCGCAAUGGACGAAAGUCUGACGGAGCAACGCCGCGUGAACGAAGAAGGCCUUCGGGUCGUAAAGUUCUGUUGUUAGGGAAGAACAAGUACCAGAGUAACUGCUGGUACCUUGACGGUACCUAACCAGAAAGCCACGGCUAACUACGUGCCAGCAGCCGCGGUAAUACGUAGGUGGCAAGCGUUGUCCGGAAUUAUUGGGCGUAAAGCGCGCGCAGGUGGUUCCUUAAGUCUGAUGUGAAAGCCCACGGCUCAACCGUGGAGGGUCAUUGGAAACUGGGGAACUUGAGUGCAGAAGAGGAAAGUGGAAUUCCAAGUGUAGCGGUGAAAUGCGUAGAGAUUUGGAGGAACACCAGUGGCGAAGGCGACUUUCUGGUCUGUAACUGACACUGAGGCGCGAAAGCGUGGGGAGCAACAGGAUUAGAUACCCUGGUAGUCCACGCCGUAAACGAUGAGUGCUAAGUGUUAGAGGGUUUCCGCCCUUUAGUGCUGCAGCUAACGCAUUAAGCACUCCGCCUGGGGAGUACGGCCGCAAGGCUGAAACUCAAAGGAAUUGACGGGGGCCCGCACAAGCGGUGGAGCAUGUGGUUUAAUUCGAAGCAACGCGAAGAACCUUACCAGGUCUUGACAUCCUCUGACAACCCUAGAGAUAGGGCUUUCCCCUUCGGGGGACAGAGUGACAGGUGGUGCAUGGUUGUCGUCAGCUCGUGUCGUGAGAUGUUGGGUUAAGUCCCGCAACGAGCGCAACCCUUGAUCUUAGUUGCCAGCAUUCAGUUGGGCACUCUAAGGUGACUGCCGGUGACAAACCGGAGGAAGGUGGGGAUGACGUCAAAUCAUCAUGCCCCUUAUGACCUGGGCUACACACGUGCUACAAUGGAUGGUACAAAGGGCUGCAAACCUGCGAAGGUAAGCGAAUCCCAUAAAGCCAUUCUCAGUUCGGAUUGCAGGCUGCAACUCGCCUGCAUGAAGCCGGAAUCGCUAGUAAUCGCGGAUCAGCAUGCCGCGGUGAAUACGUUCCCGGGCCUUGUACACACCGCCCGUCACACCACGAGAGUUUGUAACACCCGAAGUCGGUGAGGUAACCUUCAUGGAGCCAGCCGCCUAAGUGGAACAGAAG